UGGGGAAUAUUGCACAAUGGGCGCAAGCCUGAUGCAGCCAUGCCGCGUGUGUGAAGAAGGCCUUCGGGUUGUAAAGCACUUUCAGCGUGGAGGAAGGCGAUAAGGUUAAUAACCUCAUCGAUUGACGUUACCCGCAGAAGAAGCACCGGCUAACUCCGUGCCAGCAGCCGCGGUAAUACGGAGGGUGCAAGCGUUAAUCGGAAUUACUGGGCGUAAAGCGCACGCAGGCGGUUUGUUAAGUCAGAUGUGAAAUCCCCGGGCUCAACCUGGGAACUGCAUCUGAUACUGGCAAGCUUGAGUCUCGUAGCGGGGGGUAGAAUUCCAGGUGUAGCGGUGAAAUGCGUAGAGAUCUGGAGGAAUACCGGUGGCGAAGGCGGCCCCCUGGACAAAGACUGACGCUCAGGUGCGAAAGCGUGGGGAGCAAACAGG
This 429-nucleotide ribosomal RNA is filed under the name Chloroflexota bacterium. RNAcentral describes it as "Chloroflexi bacterium partial 16S ribosomal RNA". It matches the Rfam family "Bacterial small subunit ribosomal RNA", at positions 355 to 776 of the family's 1533-position model. The record is from RNAcentral. Lineage: Bacteria; Bacillati; Chloroflexota.